AAGACUAUACUUUCAGGGAUCAUUUCUAUAGUUCCCGACUGGUGAAAUGAGUCUCUAAAGUGAUUGGUCGCGCCAACCACGAGGACGAGAUACGGUGUCUUUUCCUGAGCGUGAAGCGGAUGAAGGAUCAUGGGAGUUUUCCCACAGUUCUUCAUCAUUGAUGAUCGUUCCUUUCUUCUUCGGGAGAUAAGGAGGGAAAAGACACGUUCUGAGUGGU
Molecule: small nucleolar RNA, 217 nt
Organism: Scleropages formosus (Asian bonytongue)
Lineage: Eukaryota; Metazoa; Chordata; Actinopteri; Osteoglossiformes; Osteoglossidae
Gene: U3
Rfam family: Small nucleolar RNA U3
About the family: Small nucleolar RNAs (snoRNAs) are involved in the processing and modification of rRNA in the nucleolus.
Source: Ensembl